RNAcentral lists this ribosomal RNA (253 nucleotides) under uncultured bacterium. Its description in RNAcentral is "partial 16S ribosomal RNA". It matches the Rfam family "Bacterial small subunit ribosomal RNA", at positions 524 to 776 of the family's 1533-position model. The record is from RNAcentral.
UACAGAGGGUGCAAGCGUUAAUCGGAAUUAUUGGGCGUAAAGCGCACGUAGGUGGUUAUGUAAGUCAGAUGUGAAAUCCCUGGGCUCAACCUGGGAACUGCAUUUGAAACUGUGUAACUAGAGUAUGGGAGAGGGAAGUGGAAUUUCUGGUGUAGCGGUGAAAUGCGUAGAUAUCAGAAGGAACACCAGUGGCGAAGGCGACUUCCUGGCCUAAUACUGACACUGAGGAGCGAAAGCGUGGGUAGCGAACAGG